This 253-nucleotide ribosomal RNA is filed under the name uncultured bacterium. RNAcentral's name for it is "partial 16S ribosomal RNA". It matches the Rfam family "Bacterial small subunit ribosomal RNA", at positions 524 to 776 of the family's 1533-position model. The record is from RNAcentral.
UACAGAGGGUGCAAGCGUUAAUCGGAAUUACUGGGCGUAAAGCGUGCGUAGACGGUUACAUAAGUCGGAUGUGAAAGCCCAGGGCUCAACCCUGGAAGUGCACUCGAUACUGUAAGGCUCGAGUACUGGAGAGGUUGGUGGAAUUCUCGGUGUAGAGGUGAAAUUCGUAGAUAUCGAGAGGAACACCGGUGGCGAAGGCGGCCAACUGGACAGAUACUGACGCUGAGACACGAAAGCGUGGGGAGCAAACAGG